RNAcentral lists this ribosomal RNA (465 nucleotides) under uncultured bacterium. RNAcentral describes it as "partial 16S ribosomal RNA". It matches the Rfam family "Bacterial small subunit ribosomal RNA", at positions 28 to 507 of the family's 1533-position model. The record is from RNAcentral.
GACGAACGCUGGCGGCGUGCUUAACACAUGCAAGUCGAACGGAAAGGCCCCUUUGGGGGUACUCGAGUGGCGAACGGGUGAGUAACACGUGAGUAACCUGCCCUUGACUUCGGGAUAACUUCAGGAAACUGGGGCUAAUACCGGAUAGGAAUCCUUGCUGCAUGGUGGGGGUUGGAAAGCUUCGGCGGUUUUGGAUGGACUCGCGGCUUAUCAGCUUGUUGGUGGGGUAGUGGCUUACCAAGGCUUUGACGGGUAGCCGGCCUGAGAGGGCGACCGGCCACACUGGGACUGAGAUACGGCCCAGACUCCUACGGGAGGCAGCAGUGGGGAAUAUUGCACAAUGGGCGGAAGCCUGAUGCAGCAACGCCGCGUGCGGGAUGACGGCCUUCGGGUUGUAAACCGCUUUCAGCAGGGGCGAAGCUUGUGGUGACGGUACCUGCAGAAGAAGCACCGGCUAACUACGUG